AUGAACGCUGGCGGUAUGCUUAACACAUGCAAGUCGAACGGUCACUUCGGUGAUAGUGGCGGCCGGGUGAGUAACGCGUGAGAAUCUGUCUUCAGGUCGGGGACAACAGUUAGAAAUGACUGCUAAUACCGGAUGUGCCUUUGGGUGAAAGAUUUAUUGCCUGAAAAAGAGCUCGCGUCAGAUUAGCUAGUAGGUGGUGUAAGAGACUACCUAGGCUCCGAUCUGUAGCUGGUCUGAGAGGACGAUCAGCCACACUGGAACUGAGACACGGUCCAGACUCCUACGGGAGGCAGCAGUGGGGAAUUUUCCGCAAUGGGCGAAAGCCUGACGGAGCAAUACCGCGUGAGGGACGAAGGCUUUUGGGUCGUAAACCUCUUUUCUCAAGGAAGAUGAUGACGGUACUUGAGGAAUAAGCAUCGGCUAACUCUGUG
This 431-nucleotide ribosomal RNA is filed under the name uncultured bacterium. Its description in RNAcentral is "partial 16S ribosomal RNA". It matches the Rfam family "Bacterial small subunit ribosomal RNA", at positions 29 to 507 of the family's 1533-position model. The record is from RNAcentral.